This 28-nucleotide non-coding RNA is filed under the name Mus musculus (house mouse). The record is from RNAcentral. Lineage: Eukaryota; Metazoa; Chordata; Mammalia; Rodentia; Muridae.
UGGAAUGAACUACAAUCCAGAAUUGGAA